This 939-nucleotide ribosomal RNA is filed under the name uncultured Bacillota bacterium. RNAcentral's name for it is "bacterial SSU rRNA". It matches the Rfam family "Bacterial small subunit ribosomal RNA", at positions 1 to 917 of the family's 1533-position model. Lineage: Bacteria; Bacillati; Bacillota. The record is from RNAcentral.
UGGAUCCAGACUUUGAUUAUGGCUCAGGACGAACGCUGGCGGCGUGCUUAACACAUGCAAGUCGAACGGGGUGUUUAUUUCGGUAAACACCAAGUGGCGAACGGGUGAGUAACGCGUAAGCAAUCUACCUUCAAGAUGGGGACAACACUUCGAAAGGGGUGCUAAUACCGAAUGAAUGUAAGAGUAUCGCAUGAGACACUUACUAAAGGAGGCCUCUGAAAAUGCUUCCGCUUGAAGAUGAGCUUGCGUCUGAUUAGCUAGUUGGUGAGGGUAAAGGCCCACCAAGGCGACGAUCAGUAGCCGGUCUGAGAGGAUGAACGGCCACAUUGGGACUGAGACACGGCCCAGACUCCUACGGGAGGCAGCAGUGGGGAAUCUUCCGCAAUGGGCGAAAGCCUGACGGAGCAACGCCGCGUGAACGAUGAAGGUCUUAGGAUCGUAAAGUUCUGUUGUUAGGGACGAAGGGUAAGAAUCAUAAUAAGGUUUUUAUUUGACGGUACCUAACGAGGAAGCCACGGCUAACUACGUGCCAGCAGCCGCGGUAAUACGUAGGCGGCAAGCGUUGUCCGGAAUUAUUGGGCGUAAAGGGAGCGCAGGCGGGAAACUAAGCGGAUCUUAAAAGUGCGGGGCUCAACCCCGUGAUGGGGUCCGAACUGGUUUUCUUGAGUGCAGGAGAGGAAAGCGGAAUUCCCAGUGUAGCGGUGAAAUGCGUAGAUAUUGGGAAGAACACCAGUGGCGAAGGCGGCUUUCUGGACUGUAACUGACGCUGAGGCUCGAAAGCUAGGGUAGCGAACGGGAUUAGAUACCCCGGUAGUCCUAGCCGUAAACGAUGGAUACUAGGUGUGGGAGGUAUCGACUCCUUCCGUGCCGGAGUUAACGCAAUAAGUAUCCCGCCUGGGGAGUACGGCCGCAAGGUUGCAACUCAAAUGAAUUGACGGA